UAACAUGAGAGUUUGAUCCUGGCUCAGAACGAACGCUGGCGGCAGGCUUAACACAUGCAAGUCGAACGUGAAGCCGGGCUUCGGCCCGGUGGAAAGUGGCGCACGGGUGAGUAACGCGUGGGAAAUUACCUAGCAGUACGGAAUAACUCCGGGAAACCGGCGCUAAUACCGUAUACGCCCUCCGGGGGAAAGAUUUAUCGCUGUUGGAUGUGCCCGCGUCGGAUUAGGUAGUUGGUGGGGUAAUGGCCCACCAAGCCCGCGAUCCGUAGCUGGUUUGAGAGGAUGAUCAGCCACACUGGGACUGAGACACGGCCCAGACUCCUACGGGAGGCAGCAGUGGGGAAUAUUGGACAAUGGGCGCAAGCCUGAUCCAGCAAUACCGCGUGUGUGAAGAAGGCCUGAGGGUUGUAAAGCAC
RNAcentral lists this ribosomal RNA (416 nucleotides) under Alphaproteobacteria bacterium. Its description in RNAcentral is "bacterial SSU rRNA". It matches the Rfam family "Bacterial small subunit ribosomal RNA", at positions 1 to 433 of the family's 1533-position model. The record is from RNAcentral. Lineage: Bacteria; Pseudomonadati; Pseudomonadota; Alphaproteobacteria.